Molecule: long non-coding RNA, 1373 nt
Filed under: Bemisia tabaci
Lineage: Eukaryota; Metazoa; Arthropoda; Insecta; Hemiptera; Aleyrodidae
Description: lncRNA ENSSWEETPG012267
Source: RNAcentral
GUCAUUGAACAGGGAACACACCUCAGACUUCCGCAAGGCCCGCUCAAAACUCGGUGAAAAAAUUCGUGAUAAAUGAGAAAAUCCGGAAUAAUUUACAAAGAUAAAAUGGUGUCCGAUUGAUAGGAAGUUACUGUGGAACCGGAAAGCUUGAAGAGAAUCUUCAAAUUUCAUGAUUACUUAAUUAAUGAGCCAAUUUGUUUUAUCAAACCAGGAUAACAAAGUUAAUCGUGAUGCAAUGCUCAUUUGGGAAAAGUACUUUUAAAAGAAAGUGAACAAAAAUGAUAGCCCGAGCAUUUAUCUUGACUUCCGGAAUGAUUUAUUAAGAGGAAGAGACGAAAAAGAAUGAUCCGAAAGAAAAACAACAUUUCAAAUCAACCUUUGAAGCAUAAUACACACACGUGUAAAAAAUGCUCCAAUUGACGUUCAACGAACCAAAUUUUUCUAAACAUCUCUCUACCAAACUUAGUGUCUGAUAAGAUUCAUAUUGGUGAAGAAUCAAGGCAUUACUAAACUUCGCAAUUUAGUAAAUAAAACCUAUCAUAAUGAAAUAACCUCUUUGAAUUGUAGGUUAAUCAGGAUUAUACACCGGUUCCGUUUACAUAAAAAUAUCAAUUUUGAAUUCGGCCAAAAGUGCGAGGUAUAGGGUAAGUCUGUGUAAAAUCAAGCAUAAUUUUGGAAAUUUGACCAAAAAAGUGAAAUCAAAUAAUUAUAUAUUCGUUUGACAACAUCAAGAGCACCUCUGCGGGGAGUGAUUUAAGUCCUGAAAUAAUGACACUCAUCGAGCUAAUAUUCAACUAAAAGUCAUCCGAUCGCAACCAACAAAUCAGUGCAACAAAUGGGCACGGUCAACCAUUGAAACUCGAAGUGCGGAAAAUCCAAAAUCUGCGCGGUAAAUUCAAAUCGUGGGCGGGAAACUCAAAUCGAUCACCAUGAAAACGCACGCGAUCAGCGGCGAGCGACGAAGCUUCUUCCGGCGAAACCUGGCGGAUGUCGUGGUCCCCACGAUUCUGGACCCGAAGAAAUCCCUGGACGCCAUUAACAUCCCGAAGGACAUCGAGUUCGUGAAAAAGACCUGUCGGAAGGACAACCUGGUGUGCAGGGUUUUCGCGCGGCUGUGCGGGUUGCAGACGGACCCCCGGUGUGACGUCUCCUUCGACGGGAGUGCCGAAGAGCAGGCGUCCGUGUUUAUCUCCAGAAAAUUGGAGGGCGAUCCGGGGGUGACCGCCUCCGAUGCGGCCAGUGGGGAGACGGCAUCUUCGACCGGCUCCGCCCCAUCCCAAAAUGUCGAAACUCACCAAAGAACGAAGCUAGGGACUUGCAACACCUCGCUCACCUUCUCGAGACAACCGGUGCCCUACCAUCUUCAUCGAUGC